ACAAAAUCAUUGGUUUUUAUUUCUUCACCUGAAACCCAAAAUGGCUGCGGCUUGAGAGAGGAUGGAAGGAACUACUGAGUUCAGAUUCGAUGGAAGAUGAGAGUGUGAGAUGCAGAAAUCAGAGGAUCGAUGAAGAAAUUGAUGGGGGUUUUGAAUCUGUUGCAGUCAAGAACAAGAUGAAGAGGAAGUUAGGGUUUUGUUGAAGAUGAUCGAUUUUAGAAUCUGGUGAUGUUAAUUAUUGAUUCAAGGGUUGAUAAACCUUGGGUGUGUGCUUAAUCUCAAGAAUUUGUGCUGUAAUUGAUUCUUAAACAACACAGAUAAAAGAUUGAAGAUGUUGUUGCAUUCAGAUGGGGUUUUGAGUUUGUGUUCAACUGGGAAUGGAGAGAAUUUAGUGGUGUUUGAGACCAGAAACAGGGAGGAAAUUGAGCUGUUGAACUCGCGGAUUUUGUUGGGUAUCUGGAUUAAUCAGUGGCUCAGUUUUAUGAGGAGAUUAUAGCUCAAGUUUACAGGCAGAGUGUGGGUCAAAUUUUGGGCAUAAAUCAGUCGAGAUUGCAGUCGAUCCAACCAUGGGUUUGAUGGGUUUCAUGGAGGUCAGAUCGAGUCCGUCAUCAGCUCAACUAGCCGCUGUGAGCAAUAGGUAACAACCACAUCCAAGGAUCGGUCAUAAGAUGUUAAUUAAACGAGUUCUGGUAGUUUUGAGCUCGCAUUUGGGACUGAGAAUGAGUUGUUUAGUAGCUGAGUUCAUAUGGGUUUUCUUGGUUUGAAUAGAGGAGAUAUGGGUUCGAUUUGAAGCUGGUUUUUAUGGUUUUCUCUCCUGCCAUCCAGUCACAGGAAAUGUUGCUGCUACAAUGAAACUGCUAAGUGUAUUUCGCAGGAGUAGAGAGCAAUCAACACAUACAAGUAAUGGCAUUGCAGGUGGUAAUGGAUCUGGAGAUUGUUACAAGACAGUGCAGGUUAGGAGUCGAGAUGGACUGAAAUGACAAAGGUUCUGGUGGAGUUGCUGGUGCAGAAUGGAUGCUCGUACAACUGAACGAUGUUAUUACGGGGUGUAUGGAACUGUUUAGAUGAAUGUCUAGGGCAGGUACAGCAGUUUCAGGUGCAGGUUGAGAAUGUAAAGAAGAGAUGGAAGCAAACCAUUACUCUGGUGGUGUCAAAUGGAAUCGCUAAGGAAGGACUGAGGAUGAUGUCUGAUGUUGGUGGUGUUUCAAGAGUUUGUGAUUCUGUGAAUGAAGAUGAAUCUGGCAGUUUGACAGAUUUGUAUGGAACCCAAAUGGAUGCAGUAGCUUUUGUAGUUAAUGAUGGAGCUGUUGCUGUUGAGCAAUUGCAGGAGGGAGUUAUUUGGUGGUGGACAAGACUGAGAUAGAUACUUUGUUGGUGCUGUGAAGCUGAGAUUGAAAUGACAGUGGUUAGAAUUGCAGGAUACUGCCUGGUGAAAUGCCAUUGCGGAUGGAGUUCAGUCUGUGAUGCACCAACAUGGUACAACAUUGAGUGUAGCCGUGCAAGAUAGCAACUCUGGCCUAGACCAUAGUGAAUCAGACUGAGCCAGACCUGACUCAUCUGAUUAGCCAUCUGACCCAUUGACUCGGUGUGAAUCAGUUGACUUCCCGAGUUGACUCGUUUGCUUCAUUUGACCGGUGGCCGGGUGGACCUUGCCGGUCACCAGAGAUAUGUUCCGACUACUUUUCCGGUCAACUUAUAAUUAUACUCGCGAUUAUGAAAAAAUUAGGUCUAAAUUUGCAAUCCAAUUUCUGAUUCUUUUUGAGUUCAGGAUUUUAAAACUCUAUCAAAUUUUUGAUUCGGUUUAAAAUCAGAGUUUAGAUUUGUUAUCGUCUCAUAUCAAUUUUCAGUUGAAGAUAAAAUUUCGAAAAAAUUUUGGAGAAAAAUUUAUGCCAAAUUUUUCAUAUUUCCCAAUUUGCAGUCCAGAUAGGAAUUUGUUUAUUCACUCAUAAUGAUGGAAGGAUUUAUUAAAUCCAGAAAUUUCAAAAUAUAUUCAUUGGAGCUGAACCAGUCAUAAACAUGAUCAAAAAAGCUUAUUUGCUAGAUAAGUAUUCAUUGAUCUUUACUUAUAUUUCAUGAAUCCUUUUAUAGAAUGCACACUUUUGGGUCUCAAUCUUACAGACCUAAUGCAUAUCAGAGAAUAAAUAUGAAAAAGUAAAAUCAGUUGAUCUUCGUACUAAUGAACCAUGGACUCUGGCGAAAAACCCAUUGGGUGGGUUUAUACAAUUGUCUACCUGUUUUGUAUAUAGUAAAUGCAGUUGGUGCAUCCAUUGAUUUACUUGAAGCGCUUUGGAGCUCCCUUCCAUGCAUACAAACGCUUACUGUCUUAUAAAUAGCGAAAGAGACAUGUAGUGAUCUUCCUUAGCAUUAUUUAUACACCAGGUUGGCUGAGGCAAUAUGUAUGUGCACUAGAACAAACGGUAAAAGAGAUAUCUUUUGAGAUGAAUGUAUCUCAUACUUGUUUGGACAAAUGUUGGUGUUAACAUUAUGGGUUGUGGAAUAUAUUAAAUUUAGUUGUGUUCAGAAUGUUUAUGUGUAGAGGGUCGGAAUUUGUUUAUUUAGAUGAUGAAAAUGCAGUCAACGGAUGAACACAUACUUUUGGUAUCUGAGUGGUCAUUGCUCAUCUUUGAGUUUUAAAGAAAAAGUGCGAUGUUGUUUCUAAGAGUGCAAUUAAAUGCUUGUUUAAGGGAUGCUGUAAGUGAUGACAUGUUGAUUUCAUGUAGGUUGUGUCAGAACAUGAAAGAAGGCGGAAUAAUUCAGUGCUUGUCAAUGCGUUACCAUGUACUUGCACUUGCUAAAGGGAAUUGGACUUGUUGUUUCUCCUCUAAUAGUGUUGUCUGCAGUUCAGAUUGUUUACAUUGGUGUUUUAAGCUCCUUUCGACAGCUUUUGCCAUACACGAGAAACUGUGGAGAUUUGGGAAAUAUCAUGGACAAGUAGCUGGCCGAAAAGACAACGGAACAAAUGAGUUGUUGCUGCUGUCGUUAAAUUGGUGAGGAAUAAGAGUUUGCUGCCCUUAAAUCAAGUUGUUACAUUUGAAUCGUGAAGAUUAUGAGUGGUGAAUGGAUUCUAACCUUAGAGUCGGCUGAUUAAAUUGGCAACCGUUCCCUUGGUAUAAACAUAUGAGUUUUUUUGGGGUUUUCUUUGGGCGCUUCUGUUUGAUUCUGUCUUGACAUUACAGGGGUUGAUGUUGAAUUCCCCGGGAACUUUGACAUUGGAUGUUUAUAUGUGGGAUCAUCUCGGCAGCCCAAUUAGAUGAAACCAAAGAGUGGAGUAACUUAUGCGCGGUUAAUUGCAUCAAGUGAGACAACUACAGUACGUAUCAUUGUAUUUUGGCUAUUUUUCAGUAGCCUGAAUGAAUUGUCUUCUCUUUGAACUAUUUUUUUGGGAGACGAACAUGAGAGGCAUUUGUAUGA
Molecule: RNA transcript, 3411 nt
Organism: Papaver somniferum (opium poppy)
Lineage: Eukaryota; Viridiplantae; Streptophyta; Magnoliopsida; Ranunculales; Papaveraceae
Exons: 5
Source: RefSeq, a predicted model, not a curated record